Molecule: ribosomal RNA, 253 nt
Filed under: uncultured bacterium
Lineage: Bacteria
Description: partial 16S ribosomal RNA
Rfam family: Bacterial small subunit ribosomal RNA
Source: RNAcentral
UACGUAGGGUGCGAGCGUUAAUCGGAAUUACUGGGCGUAAAGCGUGCGCAGGCGGUUUUGUAAGCCAGAUGUGAAAGCCCCGGGCUCAACCUGGGAAUGGCAUUUGGGACUGCAAGGCUUGAGUGCGGCAGAGGAGACUGGAAUUCCUGGUGUAGCAGUGAAAUGCGUAGAUAUCAGGAGGUAUACCGAUGGCGAAGGCAGGUCUCUGGGCUGACACUGACGCUCAUGCACGAAAGCGUGGGGAGCAAACAGG